Molecule: long non-coding RNA, 140 nt
Organism: Melitaea cinxia (Glanville fritillary)
Lineage: Eukaryota; Metazoa; Arthropoda; Insecta; Lepidoptera; Nymphalidae
Exons: 3
Source: RefSeq, a predicted model, not a curated record
GCUUUGGCAGUACAUAUACCUACUAAAAUUGGAACGAUACAGAGAAGAUUAGCAUGGCCCCUGCGUAAGGAUGACACGCAAAAUCGUGAAGCGUUCCACAUUUUUGACUAGCCCGUUGGCGCAUCUGUGGAAAGUUUUUA